This 475-nucleotide long non-coding RNA is filed under the name Dasypus novemcinctus (nine-banded armadillo). RNAcentral's name for it is "lncRNA (ENSDNOG00000051130.1)". The record is from RNAcentral. Lineage: Eukaryota; Metazoa; Chordata; Mammalia; Cingulata; Dasypodidae.
CUGCAGUCCAAGGCUGACCUGUGUGGGGAGAUCCAUUUCAUGAACUGUUUAUACGAGGAGGAACUGCCCCAGACGCAGACCCACGCCAGUGACACCAAAGUCAUCCUGGACCUACAUGGCAUCGUCGACGCAGUGCGGACGAAGCACACGCUGAUCACACAGAAGAGCAAGGAGGAGGCGGGUCCUGGUACCAGACGCAGGGGGGCGCCGGGCCCCGGACUCCACGCGCAGAAAACUAACAAUCCUCCCAUGAACUUGCAUUAUUUUUCUCUUACUUCUAAAGAAAAACAUAUUUGUUACAAAAUCCUAGAAAUUACCAGUGAAGAUUACCCAUAAUCCCACUGCCACUAUUGCUCUGUCAGUACGUUUUCUCCGGGUUCUUUGAAGCUAAUGUUUACUGAGAGCUCACGUGGGUCAGGCACUAAGGGCUUUAUAUAUUGUUUCAUUUAACCCUGCCACAACCCUAUGAGACAAG